AAGUUUCAAAUUGACAUUCCAGACAAGCGGUGCCUGAGCCCGUGCCUGUCUUCAGAUCUUCACAGCACAGUUCCUGGGAAGGUGGAGCCACCAGCCUCUCCCUGGGCAAAGAGGCAGAGGAAUGGAGCUCAGAGCUUUUAGAGAAUAUGGGCCAGAAACAGGAAGGAGUCAGGACCUGAUAACGGGAACCAGCGGACAGUGAACGCAGUGGAGGGCCACUGGGGCCGGAGCAGCCGAGAGAUUUCAGGAGAAUAACUGGGAGAUGAAACAGGAAGCUCUAUGACACACUUGAUCGAAUAUGACAGACACUGAAAAUCACGACUCAUCCCCCUCCAGCACCUCUACCUGUUGCCCGCCGAUCACAGCCGGAAUGCAGCUGAAAGAUUCCCUGGGGCCUGGUUCCAACUGCCCACUGUGGACUCUGAGGCCUCUGCAUUUGCGGGUGGUCUGCCUGUGAUAUUUUGGUCAUGGGCUGGUCUGGUCGGUUUCCCAUUUGUCUGGCCAGUCUCUGUGUGUCUUAAUCCCUUGUCCUUCAUUAAAAGCAAAACUAAA
RNAcentral lists this long non-coding RNA (552 nucleotides) under Homo sapiens (human). RNAcentral's name for it is "MIR4435-2 host gene". Lineage: Eukaryota; Metazoa; Chordata; Mammalia; Primates; Hominidae. The record is from RNAcentral.